Gallus gallus (chicken) is the source of this 1652-nucleotide long non-coding RNA. NCBI's taxonomy places the organism in Eukaryota, Metazoa, Chordata, Aves, Galliformes, Phasianidae. The record is from Ensembl.
GAUAAUUAGAAUAGCUGUGAUACUUUAAUUGAGUUGCUAAUACCAGUGCAGGGAUGUUGCAUAAAAGCCUGGUGGCUGGCAGCUUCUCCUUUAGCCCUGCUGAUUGGUAGGGCUGUGGAGCACGUGUGUGUGCUGGGUGUCUGCCCCCUUCCUUUCAGCUUUCCCUCCCAAAUACAGCCCCUUCUUGGCUCCAUUGUAAUGCUGUGCAGUUGUGUGUAUGUUCUCUGAGAGCAACUCCAUGCGUUCCUUCUUUUCCUCUCCCUUAUCUUGAGCUCUCAGCCUGCAUGGGCACGGGUGCAAGGUCUGUGCCAGUCCCCUCAGGCAACUAAUCUUAGUAGUGAAUGUAGAUACAAACCUACAUAUGUGAUUUCAGCCUCUGCCUGGUGCUUGUGGCAAGCCUGAUGCAAUGUGUUCUCGGAAAAGUGUGAGGAGGAAGUAAUGGGCUUCCUUGCUCUUCUGCAGUAAGAAUAGCUCAUUCAUUAUUUAUCUUCACCGGAGUUUGGUUCCUGUAUUUUUGUUGAACUUUGCCUUGCUGCAGUGGCAAUCCUUUUUACUUACUGAAUCCUUGUAGCAGCUUCUUGAAGCUUAUCAAAAUGAGGGGACAUCAGGCUUUUAACACGUUUUGGUUACUGGAACUGUUUUCAAGGAGAACGUCACACCAGGAGCCUCCAGAGUGCUCUGUGUUUGUUACCAAGCUUUUGCAACUGUACUGAUUUGAAGGAUGACGUGGUGUUUGCUCGUGGUCCCAAUUAGAGGCUCUUUAGAGCAAAAUCCAGAGCAAUUUCUGGAUGUCGUUGACCAUGAUAGCUGAUUUUCUAAUCAUGGCUAAGCUGCUCUUCGUUCUGAAGUGAGCAUUGUUGCACCCUGACUGAAGCUGUGUUGCUCUGCAAAGGUGCUACCAGAGGGCAGCCACAGCGAGGCUGGGACAGAGGGCCGAUCAAAUGCUGCUCCUGCACUUCUGUCUCUGUCCCUAAACAGUGCCCCUCUCAAUGUCUUACAGCUACGGAUUUGGUAUCAGCUCAGAUGACUGGAAAUAGCUGCUGUUUUUUCCCAAUGUCCAGAUGUGCUGUUUUUUUUUUUAAACAUCGAAUUGUGCUUUAAAAACGUGGUCAUAUGACAGAGAUUACAGUUGUUAAGUAUUCACGUAUCAAGGAUUUCUAUUUUUGAAGAGGCAAACAACUCCAUUAUAGUUUGCAAUCUAUAUAUAAGAACUUACAGUGAAAAGCACGUACCAGAAAUAACCAAGAUGGGCUGAACCUUUAAGUUCCAAACUAUUUUCCUGAGCAAUGAGAAUAUUUUAUGAAACCUAAAGGAAUCUGCUUCCUGGAAAACCUCCCUCUGAAACAGCCCUGAGCUGCCCUGACGGCCGGGGAAGCAGAACAAGAGUUUGGAUGCUUUGGAGCCCUCCUGUUAGAGGAAAUAGAUUUUUGAUGGGGGAUUGAAAUAGAUUUUUAAUGGGGGAAAAGGCUGCCACAAACAUAAGGCUGAAAGGGGGUAAAAUGGCACGUGUGUCCGUGCACGGAAUUAUGGACAGUUAUUGAAGGGAAGAUGUACCGCAGUUUGGAGCUUUUAGAGUAUUUAAGGCUUAUGUCAUAAGGAUGCCUGAAGCACUACAGUAAUUGAAGUAUUCAAAUCUGCUGAAUGAAUACCAG